GAAACUAACCAGGAUUCCCCCAGUAACGGCGAGUGAACGGGGAUUAGCCCAGCAUCGAAGCCUAUGCCUAUUUUGGUGUAAGGCCAUGUGAUGUUUUGGGGUAUGCCUAGGGUCGCCUGCCAACUCGAAGUCCAAUAUUGAAUGUGGCUUAUGUAUUUGGCCCAGAGCGGGUGAAAGGCCCGUGCGGGUUGGCUGUUAGUCAUGUUAGGCGACCUCUAGAUGCAUGCUCUGUGGAGUCGGAUUGCUUGAGAAUGCAGUCCAAAGUUGGUGGUAAACUCCAUCAAAGGCUAAAUACUGGCACGAGUCCGAUAGCAAACAAGUACCGUGAGGGAAAGUUGAAAAGUACUCUGAAGAGAGAGUAAAUAGUACGUGAAACCACUUACAGGUAAACUGGUGGAGUCCAGCUGCGUGUUCUGGGGACUUAGCUGGUGUGCAAAAGCUAUGUGCGGCUUGCUGUUAACGGCAAGUAGGCUUACGCCUAUUCAUGUUUGCCAUGUAGGUGAUAUGAGUCGUGCAAUGUGUAUGCACGCCAGUGUCUUUCCUCAGGACUGGCAUCACAGUCGAUACAGCUGCUAGUGUGUGAUGGUCAAACCGCGGAGCGAUGGGCCUUGAAGCUCAUCUUCCGUGUGGAUGGCAGGUGGUUUGGUUGUCCGUCUUGUGCGGUCAAUUGGACUUAAACAUGGUUCCGACCAGCCGACUAUCAUGCAGAUUUGCAUUCAACUAUGCAGUAUAUCGGUGAAGAGUUUCUCUGCCCAGCGGCUUUUGCGUCCUGCUGGCUCACAGGCGGUUACGUGUAAAAGCGUGCCGGAUGUGUGGCUCGGCACGGAUGUAGAGGUUGUGCGGUGGUGUUCUCACAUAAACUGUGAUGUUGUGGUA
This 876-nucleotide ribosomal RNA is filed under the name Monocotyle multiparous. RNAcentral's name for it is "eukaryotic LSU rRNA". It matches the Rfam family "Eukaryotic large subunit ribosomal RNA", at positions 61 to 638 of the family's 3401-position model. Lineage: Eukaryota; Metazoa; Platyhelminthes; Monogenea; Monocotylidea; Monocotylidae. The record is from RNAcentral.